CUCUUGAUGAACGCUAGCUACAGGCUUAACACAUGCAAGUCGAGGGGCAGCAUGGUCUUAGCUUGCUAAGGCCGAUGGCGACCGGCGCACGGGUGAGUAACACGUAUCCAACCUGCCGUCUACUCUUGGACAGCCUUCUGAAAGGAAGAUUAAUACAAGAUGGCAUCAUGAGUCCGCAUGUUCACAUGAUUAAAGGUAUUCCGGUAGACGAUGGGGAUGCGUUCCAUUAGAUAGUAGGCGGGGUAACGGCCCACCUAGUCUUCGAUGGAUAGGGGUUCUGAGAGGAAGGUCCCCCACAUUGGAACUGAGACACGGUCCAAACUCCUACGGGAGGCAGCAGUGAGGAAUAUUGGUCAAUGGGCGAGAGCCUGAACCAGCCAAGUAGCGUGAAGGAUGACUGCCCUAUGGGUUGUAAACUUCUUUUAUAAAGGAAUAAAGUCGGGUAUGCAUACCCGUUUGCAUGUACUUUAUGAAUAAGGAUCGGCUAACUCCGUGCCAGCAGCCGCGGUAAUACGGAGGAUCCGAGCGUUAUCCGGAUUUAUUGGGUUUAAAGGGAGCGUAGAUGGAUGUUUAAGUCAGUUGUGAAAGUUUGCGGCUCAACCGUAAAAUUGCAGUUGAUACUGGAUAUCUUGAGUGCAGUUGAGGCAGGCGGAAUUCGUGGUGUAGCGGUGAAAUGCUUAGAUAUCACGAAGAACUCCGAUUGCGAAGGCAGCCUGCUAAGCUGCAACUGACAUUGAGGCUCGAAAGUGUGGGUAUCAAACAGGAUUAGAUACCCUGGUAGUCCACACGGUAAACGAUGAAUACUCGCUGUUUGCGAUAUACAGCAAGCGGCCAAGCGAAAGCGUUAAGUAUUCCACCUGGGGAGUACGCCGGCAACGGUGAAACUCAAAGGAAUUGACGGGGGCCCGCACAAGCGGAGGAACAUGUGGUUUAAUUCGAUGAUACGCGAGGAACCUUACCCGGGCUUAAAUUGCAGAUGAAUUACGGUGAAAGCCGUAAGCCGCAAGGCAUCUGUGAAGGUGCUGCAUGGUUGUCGUCAGCUCGUGCCGUGAGGUGUCGGCUUAAGUGCCAUAACGAGCGCAACCCUUGUUGUCAGUUACUAACAGGUUCCGCUGAGGACUCUGACAAGACUGCCAUCGUAAGAUGUGAGGAAGGUGGGGAUGACGUCAAAUCAGCACGGCCCUUACGUCCGGGGCUACACACGUGUUACAAUGGGGGGUACAGAGGGCCGCUACCACGCGAGUGGAUGCCAAUCCCAAAAACCUCUCUCAGUUCGGACUGGAGUCUGCAACCCGACUCCACGAAGCUGGAUUCGCUAGUAAUCGCGCAUCAGCCACGGCGCGGUGAAUACGUUCCCGGGCCUUGUACACACCGCCCGUCAAGCCAUGGGAGCCGGGGGUACCUGAAGUGCGUAACCGCGAGGAGCGCCCUAGGGU
This 1436-nucleotide ribosomal RNA is filed under the name uncultured organism. RNAcentral's name for it is "SSU rRNA". It matches the Rfam family "Bacterial small subunit ribosomal RNA". The record is from RNAcentral.